CGCGGCCUAUCAGCUUGUUGGCGGGGUAAUGGCCCACCAAGGCGACGACGGGUAGCCGGCCUGAGAGGGCGACCGGCCACACUGGGACUGAGACACGGCCCAGACUCCUACGGGAGGCAGCAGUGGGGAAUAUUGCGCAAUGGGCGGAAGCCUGACGCAGCGACGCCGCGUGAGGGAUGAAGGCCUUCGGGUCGUAAACCUCUUUCAGCAGGGAAGAAGCGCAAGUGACGGUACCUGCAGAAGAAGCACCGGCUAACUACGUGCCAGCAGCCGCGGUAAUACGUAGGGUGCAAGCGUUGUCCGGAAUUAUUGGGCGUAAAGAGCUCGUAGGCGGUCUGUCGCGUCUGCUGUGAAAACUCAGGGCUUAACCCUGAGCUUGCAGUGGGUACGGGCAGACUAGAGUGCGGUAGGGGAGACUGGAAUUCCUGGUGUAGCGGUGAAAUGCGCAGAUAUCAGGAGGAACACCGGUGGCGAAGGCGGGUCUCUGGGCCGUAACUGACGCUGAGGAGCGAAAGCAUGGGGAGCGAACAGGAUUAGAUACCCUGGUAGUCCAUGCCGUAAACGUUGGGCGCUAGGUGUGGGGCUCUUUCCAUGAGUUCCGUGCCGCAGCUAACGCAUUAAGCGCCCCGCCUGGGGAGUACGG
This 643-nucleotide ribosomal RNA is filed under the name uncultured bacterium. RNAcentral's name for it is "bacterial SSU rRNA". It matches the Rfam family "Bacterial small subunit ribosomal RNA", at positions 232 to 885 of the family's 1533-position model. The record is from RNAcentral.